This 255-nucleotide ribosomal RNA is filed under the name uncultured bacterium. RNAcentral describes it as "partial 16S ribosomal RNA". It matches the Rfam family "Bacterial small subunit ribosomal RNA", at positions 524 to 776 of the family's 1533-position model. The record is from RNAcentral.
UACGUAGGGUGCAAGCGUUAAUCGGAAUUACUGGGCGUAAAGCGUGCGCAGGCGGUGAUGUAAGACAGGUGUGAAAUCCCCCGGGCUUAACCUGGGAACUGCAUUUGUGACUGCAUCGCUGGAGUGCGGCAGAGGGGGGAUGGAAUUCCGCGUGUAGCAGUGAAAUGCGUAGAUAUGCGGAGGAACACCGAUGGCGAAGGCAAUCCCCUGGGCCUGCACUGACGCUCAUGCACGAAAGCGUGGGGAGCAAACAGG